This 253-nucleotide ribosomal RNA is filed under the name uncultured bacterium. Its description in RNAcentral is "partial 16S ribosomal RNA". It matches the Rfam family "Bacterial small subunit ribosomal RNA", at positions 524 to 776 of the family's 1533-position model. The record is from RNAcentral.
UACGUAGGGUGCAAGCGUUGUUCGGAAUUACUGGGCGUAAAGGGCUCGUAGGCGGCCAACUAAGUCAGACGUGAAAUCCCUCGGCUUAACCGGGGAACUGCGUCUGAUACUGGAUGGCUUGAGUUCGGGAGAGGGAUGCGGAAUUCCAGGUGUAGCGGUGAAAUGCGUAGAUAUCUGGAGGAACACCGGUGGCGAAGGCGGCAUCCUGGACCGACACUGACGCUGAGGAGCGAAAGCCAGGGGGGCAAACGGG